This is a long non-coding RNA of Bombus pascuorum, 2030 nucleotides long. RefSeq lists it as uncharacterized. The transcript is spliced from 3 exons. NCBI's taxonomy places the organism in Eukaryota, Metazoa, Arthropoda, Insecta, Hymenoptera, Apidae. The record is from RefSeq and is a predicted model, not a curated record.
GUCCACGUAUCGAACAUAUCAAGAAAGCAAAAUUUCAUAGCGAAGAUAAGUAACGGGGCGACGUAUUGAGAUGGGACGCCUCGAAUCCGUUUGCGAGAGCGUUUCACAAGGUGUUUGCUCGCUCGGCGACGGUUGGGUAUACGACAAAUAGCAGCGCGACUCAAUUAUUCGAGGAAGAAGGUGACACGACAGAAGCUUGAGGAAUGCCAGUCGAAGCGGGGAAGCGAGGAACUUCAAACGUGUGUGCGCAUAUGUACCAACGAUAUCCUCGUGAAUUCGAUUCGAGGCACGCGUAUUGACUGGCUGAUAUUGCAAAAUCGCUGCACGUUACUUAUUAGCAUAAACUCUUUGUUGCCUAUGACGCCGAUUUACCGGACGCAUCUUCUCGUCCCUCGUUACGCAUCGAUUACAUUAUGUUAUCGUUCGAUUUUCCCAGGAAGAUUUAUCGACUAUUCGUGCUCGAAUAUUCGAUGUAAAACUACACUAAAAAUUUCAAUUCAUGAUCAGAAACAUUCGAAGACAAUGGGAUUAACUAGCGGAACAUUGCAUCCUGGAGAGUAGCAAUGGACAAGUAGCGCGUUCGCAAGUUGAUGCAGUUGCACGACCUAAAUUUCCUGUUCGUUAAAUAUUUCACGUUGCAGUGGUGACCGUGUAUAUACGAAAGGCGAUAGUCGAUGAAAAGCAGAUCCGCUUUUCUUGGCGUUAACGUGCCAACGAUCCACCUUGUUUGUCGAUAGCGUUGCUCUACCGUGAUCAGGUGAACCGUGAACAGAAUCACUUACAGGAGAGGCAAAGAAGCCAAAAGCGAAACGGUGGAUGAAAAAGUGCGAGCGCCGGGAAAGGAAAAGCGAGCAUACGUGCGGAGUAACGUCAAAGACGCGAGAAGGGGAGUGACGAGUGGCGAGCAGCAUGAUGGGAUGAAAAAGCCGAAAGGCAGGAACGAAACGGGGAAGGAUCCCGGCGGACAGUGGUGCGAGCUAUCGGGUAACAUUCGUCAUGGUGAGUGCGGAGACGUCGACCUCGCAGAUACGCCGAUCAGACUAGUCCGCAGUCCUUCUCUCGUAUAACGACAGAAACCAGCAACCAGCAACCGUCAACCGUCAACCGUCAACUAACCAGCAACGCGUCAACACACUGGAACAUCUUCCUAACCCUUGGAAACGACUUUCGAAGGAUUAACAUUCUCCUGACCAUUCCAGUAUAGAUUUUCCAGAAGCAUAGUUCACAGACAAUUUCGCCAACAACCCAACUAGAUUUAUUGAUGUACGAAGUAAAGAUAUGGGAGAUUUUGGAGGGACAUGGAAUGGUUAUGGAAGGAAACAGCUGAAUUAUGCUACGUAAUCGUGCUACAUUGUCUCGUACGUAGAACAGAAUGAAUCACGUUAUCGACAAAGGGAAAGUGUUAUUAGUCGAUUAUUACAUGGAAGCAUUGAGUGAAAAUGGUAAUGGUAAAUGGUAGAGAAUGUGAAAAUGUCUGAUAAUCAACUUUGGCGGUCAACUCAAAAAUAAGCUGUUUAACUUAUUCGAAUGCUCGUAUCGCAUUUUACGAACAAAAUGCUCGUAUAAUAUUUAAUUGCUCUGCUGAAAUAAAAAAAUAUUAACUUAUCGGUGUAGUUUUGAGAUAAUCAAAUAAAAAAUUUUAAUUUUGAGAUUAUAUUUAUAAGGCUUGAUUUAAUUGUAUAUUACUCAAACACUUGGUGUUUAGAGUGAAAUUAUGACAAUGUUUAAUAACAAUUUAGGUUAUUCUCUAUAAUUGUAACCCUGUACUGUAUUACUAUAAUUGUAAAAGUAAUAUGCAUGUUAUACAAUGUAUAGGACGAUGAAAACAGGUUACGUUACAGGCUGAUAAACUACGCACUAUUGGAAAUCUAUAAUGCACCGUCCUGUACGCGCGAAAGCAUGUCGAAGCAUUGUUGUAAUAAAAAUAAUAUGAAUUACGAUCAGUACUUCUUGCAAACAAUUUGUACACGGUUACAAAUGAAAUAAAGGUUCAAUAAAACAAUAUAUCACGUAAGAACAUGUAAACAGAA